CGGGACGGGUGAGUAAUGUCUGGGAAACGUGCCUGAUGGAGGGGGAUAACGACUGGAAACGGUAGCUAAUACCGCAUAACGUCGCAAGACCAAAGAGGGGGACCUUCGGGCCUCUUGCCAUCGGAUGUGCCCAGAUGGGAUUAGCUAGUAGGUGGGGUAACGGCUCACCUAGGCGACGAUCCCUAGCUGGUCUGAGAGGAUGACCAGCCACACUGGAACUGAGACACGGUCCAG
RNAcentral lists this ribosomal RNA (234 nucleotides) under uncultured bacterium. RNAcentral's name for it is "partial 16S ribosomal RNA". It matches the Rfam family "Bacterial small subunit ribosomal RNA", at positions 100 to 334 of the family's 1533-position model. The record is from RNAcentral.